Molecule: ribosomal RNA, 253 nt
Filed under: uncultured bacterium
Lineage: Bacteria
Description: partial 16S ribosomal RNA
Rfam family: Bacterial small subunit ribosomal RNA
Source: RNAcentral
UACGUAGGGGGCUAGCGUUGUCCGGAAUCAUUGGGCGUAAAGAGCGUGUAGGCGGUCCGGUAAGUCCGCUGUGAAAGUCGGGGGCUCAACCCUCGAAUGCCGGUGGAUACUGUUGGGCUAGAGUGCGGAAGAGGCGAGUGGAAUUCCUGGUGUAGCGGUGAAAUGCGCAGAUAUCAGGAGGAACACCUAUUGCGAAGGCAGCUCGCUGGGACGUAACUGACGCUGAGACGCGAAAGCGUGGGGAGCAAACAGG